AACGAACGCUGGCGGCAUGCCUAACACAUGCAAGUCGAACGAGAUCUUCGGGUCUAGUGGCGCACGGGUGCGUAACGCGUGGGAAUCUGCCCUUUGGUUCGGAAUAACAGUUGGAAACGACUGCUAAUACCGGAUGAUGACGAAAGUCCAAAGAUUUAUCGCCAGAGGAUGAGCCCGCGUAGGAUUAGCUAGUUGGUGUGGUAAAGGCGCACCAAGGCGACGAUCCUUAGCUGGUCUGAGAGGAUGAUCAGCCACACUGGGACUGAGACACGGCCCAGACUCCUACGGGAGGCAGCAGUGGGGAAUAUUGGACAAUGGGCGAAAGCCUGAUCCAGCAAUGCCGCGUGAGUGACGAAGGCCUUAGGGUUGUAAAGUUCUUUUACCCGGGAUGAUAAUGACAGUGCCGGGAGAAUAAGCUCCGGCUAACUCCGUGCCAGCAGCCGCAGUAA
RNAcentral lists this ribosomal RNA (449 nucleotides) under uncultured bacterium. RNAcentral's name for it is "partial 16S ribosomal RNA". It matches the Rfam family "Bacterial small subunit ribosomal RNA", at positions 29 to 523 of the family's 1533-position model. The record is from RNAcentral.